CAGGAUUCCCUUAGUAGCGGCGAGCGAAGAGGGAGAAGCCCAGCGCUUAAUCCCGCGUUCCAACCGGGGCGCAGGGAAAUGUAGCGUUUGGGAGGGUCCGCAUGCCGGUGGUCGCGCGGUGAGUCAAAGUCCUUCUUGAACGGGGCCACACACCCAAAGAGGGUGCCAGGCCCGUAAAGACUGCCCGCAGAUUGCCGGGUGGACCUCUCCUCAGAGUCGGGUUGCUUGAGAGUGCAGCCCUAAGUGGGUGGUAAACUCCAUCUAAGGCUAAAUACAACCACGAGGCCGAUAGCGAACAAGUACCGUGAGGGAAAGUUGAAAAGAACUUUGAAGAGAGAGUUCAAUAGUACGUGAAACCGUCCAGGGGUAAACCUGAGAAGCCCGAAAGUUCGAGCGGGGAGAUUCAACCGCGUCUCGGCUCGGUAGCCCGAGGCGGUCUGGCGACGGGGGCGCGUUCGCGCGCCACCGCGCAUUCCGCCCGCAGUGCGGCCGCCGAACGCGUGCACUUCUCCCCGUGUAGGACGUCGCGACCCGUCGGGUGCCGGUCUAAGGCCCGCGGUGGUGACCGGACGGACGGCCUGGCCGUUCCGUCCGGACCCGCGGCCGCCGGACCGGCUCUCUCGACGGUAUGUUAACGUAUGGCGCGGGGCCGCGAUUCAGUUCGCGCUCGGCCCGCGGCGAGCUCGGGCGGUAAGUGCGGCGGUCGGACCUGGCGCCGACCCCGCCGCCGUACGGCUGCGGUCGCGGUGUUCUCGAGCAGACCCCUUCACACGCCGGUCGGCGACGCUAUAGCUUUGGGUACUUUCAGGACCCGUCUUGAAACACGGACCAAGGAGUCUAGCAUGUGCGCGAGUCAUCGGGACCCGUAGUAGGCCUAAAGGCGUAAUGAAAGUGAAGGCCGGCCCUAGCGCCGGUCGAGGGAGGAUGCGGACGGCCUCGGCCGCCCGCCGCACUCCCGGGGCGUCUCGCCCUCAUCGCGAGGAGAGGCGCACCCAGAGCGUACACGCUGGGACCCGAAAGAUGGUGAACUAUGCCUGGUCAGGACGAAGUCAGGGGAAACCCUGAUGGAGGUCCGUAGCGAUUCUGACGUGCAAAUCGAUCGUCGGAACUGGGUAUAGGGGCGAAAGACUAAUCGAACCAUCUAGUAGCUGGUUCCCUCCGAAGUUUCCCUCAGGAUAGCUGGCGCUCGCUUUUGCGAGUCUCAUCCGGUAAAGCGAAUGAUUAGAGGCAUUGGGGUCGAAACGGCCUCAACCUAUUCUCAAACUUUAAAUGGGUGAGAUCUCCGGCUUGCUUGAACCAAUCAAUGAAGCCGCGAGAUUUCGGAUCAGAGUGCCAAGUGGGCCAUUUUUG
This 1350-nucleotide ribosomal RNA is filed under the name Anthrenus cf. lepidus DDM0374. RNAcentral describes it as "eukaryotic LSU rRNA". It matches the Rfam family "Eukaryotic large subunit ribosomal RNA", at positions 70 to 1139 of the family's 3401-position model. Lineage: Eukaryota; Metazoa; Arthropoda; Insecta; Coleoptera; Dermestidae. The record is from RNAcentral.